Small nucleolar RNA from Aphidius gifuensis, 139 nucleotides. Lineage: Eukaryota; Metazoa; Arthropoda; Insecta; Hymenoptera; Braconidae. The record is from RefSeq and is a predicted model, not a curated record.
UUAUGGCCUUUUCGAAGCUACAACUAUGCUAAAUUAUCCAAAUUUUUGUAGUCAAAUUUAGGCCAAUAAUAAAAUGUCCAUCUUUAUGGUCACUGAUUGAAUUUGUAUUCUCUCCGUAUUACCCAAGAAGGAAACAAAA